GACGAACGCUGGCGGCGUGCUUAACACAUGCAAGUCGAACGGAAAGGCCCUGCUUUUGUGGGGUGCUCGAGUGGCGAACGGGUGAGUAACACGUGAGUAACCUGCCCUUGACUUUGGGAUAACUUCAGGAAACUGGGGCUAAUACCGGAUAGGAGCUCCUGCUGCAUGGUGGGGGUUGGAACGUUUCGGCGGUUGGGGAUGGACUCGCGGCUGAUCAGCUUGUUGGUGGGGUAGUGGCUUACCAAGGCUUUGACGGGUAGCCGGCCUGAGAGGGUGACCGGCCACAUUGGGACUGAGAUACGGCCCAGACUCCUACGGGAGGCAGCAGUGGGGAAUAUUGCACAAUGGGCGGAAGCCUGAUGCAGCAACGCCGCGUGCGGGAUGACGGCCUUCGGGUUGUAAACCGCUUUCGCCUGUGACGAAGCGUGAGUGACGGUAAUGGGUAAAGAAGCACCGGCUAACUACGUG
RNAcentral lists this ribosomal RNA (468 nucleotides) under uncultured bacterium. RNAcentral describes it as "partial 16S ribosomal RNA". It matches the Rfam family "Bacterial small subunit ribosomal RNA", at positions 28 to 507 of the family's 1533-position model. The record is from RNAcentral.